Molecule: ribosomal RNA, 306 nt
Filed under: uncultured bacterium
Lineage: Bacteria
Description: partial 16S ribosomal RNA
Rfam family: Bacterial small subunit ribosomal RNA
Source: RNAcentral
GACAGCAGUAGCCGCGGGAAUACGUAGGUGGCAAGCGUUGUCCGGAAUUAUUGGGCGUAAAGGGCUCGCAGGCGGUUUCUUAAGUCUGAUGUGAAAGCCCCCGGCUCAACCGGGGAGGGUCAUUGGAAACUGGGAAACUUGAGUGCAGAAGAGGAGAGUGGAAUUCCACGUGUAGCGGUGAAAUGCGUAGAGAUGUGGAGGAACACCAGUGGCGAAGGCGACUCUCUGGUCUGUAACUGACGCUGAGGAGCGAAAGCGUGGGGAGCGAACAGGAUUAGAGACCCCUGUAGUCCCUGUCUCUUAUAC